This 253-nucleotide long non-coding RNA is filed under the name Citrus sinensis (sweet orange). RNAcentral's name for it is "long non-coding RNA (CSIN_LNC001510)". The record is from RNAcentral. Lineage: Eukaryota; Viridiplantae; Streptophyta; Magnoliopsida; Sapindales; Rutaceae.
CAAGUAUCUCAAAAAGCCAUAAGAAUACUGACCGAUCCAUUUGGCAGCAUGCUCAGUGCCUUGUCUCGCUUCUUUUGCUUUCUCCUCAACACUCUCACAGACAUUCUCCACUUGCUCGGACACGUUCCUUGCAAUAUCUCCUCUGAUCGUCGUGCCUAUAGCCCUUGCAUCUUUUAGGUUCUCUUUCGCUUCGUAAGCCUUCUGUGACGCAGUGUCUUUGGCUUUCCCUAAUGCAUCUUUUGCAGCCUCUUUG